Molecule: long non-coding RNA, 1062 nt
Organism: Populus trichocarpa (black cottonwood)
Lineage: Eukaryota; Viridiplantae; Streptophyta; Magnoliopsida; Malpighiales; Salicaceae
Exons: 2
Source: RefSeq, a predicted model, not a curated record
GGUCUAGCUGCUGUGGUCAAUCGUGUGACUUGUUCCGCCCCCGUCCCGGGUUCGACCCUCUAUGUGCACGCCUGUCACCCCCGCGGUGCCUUACCUGCUCCUGGGCUUGCAGGAUGUCCAGUGGGCCGUGGGGAAUAGUCGUGGUGCGCGUAAGCUGGCCCGGACACCCCACGUAAAUCAAAAAAAAAAAAAAAAAAAAAUAUUACAAAAUAGACAAAAUAAAUCGGUAACAGUGCUAGGAAUUUCCGAGUCGUGGAACAGUGGCGGGUGCUUGCUUCACUCGCUAUUGCCACUAGCAGCACGUGGGUUCAUACACCGCAGCAAGCAAAGCCCAAGAGAUGGGUGGAUCUGGGAUGACUCCCUCCUCUCUUCUCUUCCCUAUCGGUGGUGGCAGAUUUGAUGGUUGUAGAUCUGGCGGUGACGGUGGCCGUUGCAGUGGACGAAUCUGCCAGUGCUUGAAGGCCUUGGUAUGGAGGAGAAGUAAGUGUCUCCUGGGCGCGGGGAACGGUCACGGGUCUGUGAGAGCUGCUAUGUUUUGGCUGCCACUGGAUUCUGGUCAAGGAAGAGAGAGAUGGGUCUCGGAUUAGCAGGGAUGAGGGACGCUGGAGACGACGUCUGUGGGGUUGGUCUCCUAUGUCAGUGAGCAGCAGCUCUGGUUUGGCCAAGAGAUGGGGGUGGUGCUCUCGGUGGCUAUGGGAAGAACACCUGAGAGGGAGAAGGUCUGGCGUGUGGCUGUUUUAGGUGAGGGAAAGGAUAGGACGAUUUGGCCAAAGGGUGAACGGCUGGAGAGAUGGAGGGCAAGUGGGAAGAUCUAGUAAGGGAAGGAGAUGGUUGGGUCUGUGGGGAUGGAGAGGGAAGGGGAAUACUUGUCCGGUUGAAGGGAGAAGAAGCCGAAAAUUCAAAAGCCCAAAGCCAGGGGUUUCUCUGGUUUUCGCUCAAGGGAGGGGGUGGUGGCUUGUCUGUAGAUGAGUUUAGGUUUACAGUUUCUUUGUGUUUCCCUAAUUUUCAAAAUCGACCUAUAUUUAAAGGUAAAUAUUAAUAGAUCUCUCAAACUUUUUUUAA